RNAcentral lists this ribosomal RNA (253 nucleotides) under uncultured bacterium. Its description in RNAcentral is "partial 16S ribosomal RNA". It matches the Rfam family "Bacterial small subunit ribosomal RNA", at positions 524 to 776 of the family's 1533-position model. The record is from RNAcentral.
UACGUAGGUGACAAGCGUUAUCCGGAUUUACUGGGCGUAAAGGGAGCGUAGGCGGAUAAUUAAGUGGGAUGUGAAAUACCCGGGCUCAACCUGGGCGCUGCAUUCCAAACUGAUUAUCUAGAGUGCAGGAGAGGAGAGUGGAAUUCCUAGUGUAGCGGUGAAAUGCGUAGAGAUUAGGAAGAACACCAGUGGCGAAGGCGACUCUCUGGACUGUAACUGACGCUGAGGCUCGAAAGCGUCGGGAGCAAACAGG